CACCUUGCGCCUAGGCUCUAGGACACCUUGGCGCCUUGUUGAGCCUUUAAUAACUAUGGUUGAACUUAGAUGAGGAAGAAGUGGAAAUUCAUAUUUCACUUGCUACUGAGGAAGAAAAUUCCCAAGAGGUGGAUGUUAAGGCUCAUAUCUUUAAGCUGAAGUUGGAAUUAGUGGAUCAUGAUGUUUCAAAAAAGUAGUCCAUGAUUAUUUUCAGUGGUGAUUAGGUAGAUGGGGUGUCAUUUGAGUUGGUGAAUUCAAAAGACCAAUUGGGAGAUAUUGUUUCAAUUCCUGAGGAGUGCCAAAAACUGACCAAGUUUUACUCAUUUAUGGGCAUUACUUUUGCUAAAUAUGGUCCUUUCCAAACACGUGGUAUAACCUGGACGACUCAAGGGUAAUUAAGGUUGAUGAAGAAGUUGAUUUUGGAUUUCAUUGCUAUAAUUUGGAGUGGGUUUCAUAUCAAAUUGUUCUUCUCUAAGGGGAUGAGUAUGAGAAAUGGCAAAGAAACAAAAUGAAUUUGAAAUUUUGUCAUUGGAGGGAGAAUGUACAAUGGCUGAUUCUAAGAAAGUAUGUACAGAACAUUCUGGUACACCAACAUUCCAAUUGGAAGGGCAAUAUUAUUUGGAUAAAAUGCUUUCUGCCAAUUGAGUCCUAGCAUUCAAGUGCAGCUCCACCAUAGCAUUCAAGAUGCUUGCAUAGAAGAUUUUUCUUUUAUUCAUGGAACCUUUUCAUUCUUGAGGACAAGAACGAUUUCAAGAAGUGGGGAACGUUAUGAUAACAAGGGGAAUAGGA
RNAcentral lists this unclassified non-coding RNA (789 nucleotides) under Hevea brasiliensis (rubber tree). The record is from RNAcentral. Lineage: Eukaryota; Viridiplantae; Streptophyta; Magnoliopsida; Malpighiales; Euphorbiaceae.